CCUACGGGUGGCUGCAGUGAGGAAUAUUGGUCAAUGGACGGAAGUCUGAACCAGCCAUGCCGCGUGCAGGAAGACGGCCCUAUGAGUUGUAAACUGCUUUUGUACAAGGGUAAACCUGAAUACGUGUAUUCAGAUGAACGUACUGUACGAAUAAGGAUCGGCUAACUCCGUGCCAGCAGCCGCGGGAAUACGGGGGAUCCAAGCUUUAUCCGGAUUUAAUGGGUUUAAAGGGUGCGUAGGUGGAUUGAUAAGUUAGGGGGGAAAUGUCCGAGUUUAACUCGGGGACUGCCUUUAAUACUGUAGACCUCGAGAGUGGGUGCGGUAGGCGGAAUGGAUGGUGUAGCGGUGAAAUGCUUAGAGAUCAUACAGAACACCGAUUGCGAAGGCAGCUUACCAAUCUAUAUCUGACGUUGAGGCACGAAAGCGUGGGGAGCGAACAGGAUUAGAUACCCGAGUAGUC
RNAcentral lists this ribosomal RNA (460 nucleotides) under uncultured bacterium. Its description in RNAcentral is "partial 16S ribosomal RNA". It matches the Rfam family "Bacterial small subunit ribosomal RNA", at positions 338 to 795 of the family's 1533-position model. The record is from RNAcentral.